RNAcentral lists this long non-coding RNA (1041 nucleotides) under Cyanistes caeruleus (blue tit). RNAcentral's name for it is "lncRNA (ENSCCEG00000010539.1)". Lineage: Eukaryota; Metazoa; Chordata; Aves; Passeriformes; Paridae. The record is from RNAcentral.
GGCGUCACAGGCUGCAGUGAUCCAUGGGAGCCAGUGCCUGCUUCUACUAUUCGUGUAGCAGCAGGAAAAGCAAGUACCAAUUACAUCAGUAAUGCUGACAAAGACAUCAUCAGAUAUUUCAGUUUAGACAAGAAAGCCAGAAAAGCAUACUCCCAGAGGCUCCAAGACCAGCAACAAGCAGAAAGUUUGGCUGAGACUCAGAUAAGGACAUACAUCAAUUUCAUAGGUGGCAUGAGAGGGUUUAAAAUAGGACUGAAGAAGGAUGGCAGCACUUUAGCUGUCCAAGAUGUGACUUGUACUAAGAACCUUCUCUUCCCAAACAAACUGGAUUCUGGUCUGUGCCUGUCUGGCUUUGUCAAGUAUCCACCCACCUCCAAUAAAUGGACUCAGAAUGUCACAACAAUAAGGGCUCUAAUGGUUAACACACUGAAGGCUGGAUUCAGAUGAAGAUCUGAGUAACAGGUCUUUAAUAACAUUGCCUUCAAAGUCAGCCAGCAAGAACAUCACAGGAUUGGAGCUGAUGUCUAUAUGGACACAAGAAUAGAAAAAUCCCACUGUAAUGAGUAGGAAACCCACUAGAAAUGGGAAAAAAGAAAAUGUGAUAUGCAGCACAUGUAUGAUUUGAAAGGUGAUUAUUGGGUACCUGAAGGCACAUGCAUUUGGGUACAUAAAACAUUUGUAGGAGUGAGAGUCUCCCUUUUAAGAGCAGCUCUGGCCUUGCAAUUCAAUGGCAAAAAUCAUUAUUUUCUUCCUACUUCCUUUUGAGAAAAGAAAAUCUUCAACUCAUCUCCUACUUCAAGAUCCCCUUACUGUUGUGCCUUCUAACUGUUACUUUUCUGUACAGAAAAAUUAGCCUUGUAGAAGGGCACUUUUUAAAAAGUGAAGUGUAAUUCCUUAGUACAUCGAUACUUGUUGAACUCUUGCUGGUUAUAUUGGGUGGAAAAUGAUGAUGGCCUGUACUUUAUCUCAAUGAGAGUAUGAUGAUCAAUUUAUUUUUUUGUCAAAUGCAUUCUUUACUACGUUGCAUUUUGUGUGGUUGAC